CCACAGUCUACAAAACCCCACAGCUCCUAAGAAUUCUCUAACCUGCCUUCUGCCCUUAGGCUCCGGUAGAUUGCAAACGACCUGCUUUCUUUCUGAUCCCGGGCUGCGUUCGGACCCCUGUCGUAUAGAAAAUCCCAAGUAAGGUACCUGCCGUCGGCAGAUCUGAGCUUUCUUCUUGGACACCUAAUACCCACAGUCCUCCAGACCCCUGUCGGAUAGUAAAUCCCAAGUAAGGUACCUUCUGCUGGAAGAUCUGAGCUUUCUUCUUGGACACCUAAAACCCACAGUCCUCCAGUGAAGGAUCCAGUGAGAUUUUCCAGGUUAACGGUCAUAAUCGCCUACUGGUCCAACGUUCAGAAGUAACACAGGCACCUGGACAAUACACAGUAGAUGUGGAAGGACACGGUUGUACAUUUAUCCAGG
This 423-nucleotide long non-coding RNA is filed under the name Homo sapiens (human). Its description in RNAcentral is "PREDICTED lncRNA (TCONS_00060182)". The record is from RNAcentral. Lineage: Eukaryota; Metazoa; Chordata; Mammalia; Primates; Hominidae.